GCUGGCUGAGGAGAAUGUGGAGCUGGAGCUGGAGCUUCAGCGGAGCUUGGAGCCACCUCCAGGAUCCCCUGGGGAGGCACCCCUGGCAGGAGCGGCCCCCUCGCUGCAAGAUGAGGUGAGGGAGGCAGAGGCUGGGCGGCUUCGGACACUUGAGAGGGAGAACCGGGAGCUUCGGGGGCUGCUUCAGGUGCUUCAGGGGCAGCCAGGGGGCCAGCACCUCCUGCUGGAGGCGCCAAGAGAGGACCCUGUGCUUCCGGUGCUGGAGAAGGCUCCCCAGACUCCUGUGGCCUCCGACCACAGCCCUCAGGGCUUGGUUCAGAAGGCAAGCGAUGGAGGCCCCCAGGCCUUGGACUUGGCUCCCCCAGCAUUAGACUCAGUGCUCGAGGGGUCAGCUGAGUGUCCCCAGGCACCUGAUUCAGACCCACAGGAGGCAGAGAGUUCCCUUCAGACAGCUGCCAUGGACCCCCAGGCCUCAGACUGGUCCCCCCAAGAGUCAGGCUCUCCUGUGGAGACACAGGAGUCCCCGGAGAAGGCUGGCCAUAGAUCCUCUCUCCAGAGCCCUGCCUCUGUGGCCCCACCUCAGAGUCCAGGGACCAAAAUUCAGGCCCCGCAGUUACUGGGAGGAGAGACCAACGGAAGAGAGGCUCCCCAAGGUGAAUUGGUGCCUGAGGCCUGGGGGUUGAGACAGGAGGGCCCUGAGCACAAGCCAGGGCCUUCGGAGCCCAGCUCUGUGCAGCUGGAGGAGCAGGAGGGCCCAAACCAGGGCCUGGACCUGGCCACGGGACAAACAGAGGCCAGAGAGCAUAACCAGAGGCUGGAAGGGACGGUCGGGGACCCAGCCUGGCAAAAACCACAGCAGAAGUCAGAAGGGGCUCUUGAGGUCCAGGCCUGGGAAGGCCCAAUCCCAGGCGAGAGCCUGGCCAGUGGUGUCGCAGAGCAGGAGGCCCUCAGGGAGGAGGUGGCACAGUUGAGGAGAAAGGCUGAGGCCCUUGGAGCUGAGCUGGAAGCCCAGGCCCGCAAGCUGGAGGCCCAAGACACGGAGACUGCCCGCCUCUCCAAGGAGCUGGCCCAAGCGCGAAGGGCAGAGGCCGAGGCCCACCGGGAGGCAGAGGCCCAGGCCUGGGAGCAAGCCCGGCUGCGGGAGGCAGUGGAGGCUGCCGGCCGGGAGCUGAAGGCUGCGUCCCAGGAACGGGAGGCGCUGGUGGAGGCGCUGGCAGCAGCGGGCCGGGAGAGGAGGCAGUGGGAGCGUGAGGGGUCCAGGCUGCGGGCCCAGUCGGAGGCCACCGAGGAACGGAUGCAGGCGCUGGAGAGCGAGGGCCGCCAGCACUUGAAGGAGGCUGAGAAGGAGCGCCGGGAGAAGGAGGCCCUCCAGGCGGAGCUGGAGAAAGCUGUGGUGCGGGGCAAGGAAUUGGGGGCCCGGCUGGAGCAUCUGCAGCGUGAGCUGGAGCAGGCGGCUCUCGAGCGCCGGGAAUUUCUGCGAGAACAGGAAAGCCAGCACCAGAGGUACCAGGGCUUGGAGCAGCGGCUGGAAGCUGAGCUGCAGGCGGCGGCGACCAGCAAGGAGGAGGCGCUGAUGGAGCUCAAGACCAGGGCCCUGCAGCUGGAAGAGGAGCUGUUCCAGAACUUCUGCUGUGGAUGACUGCUCCGCCUGUCUCACCCGAGGUCCCCCACUGUCUAGGGAGCUCAGUGCUUGGCAUCAAGGAAGCCAGCGAUGGUUUCUGAUGCCCAGGCUGUGUGCGGGCUCCAUACGGAGGGUGGGGUGGUGGUGGGGCCCAAUCCCAGGCUGCCAUCCUCAGGGAGCUCACAGUCCAGUCAGGAUAGAGGCAAGAAAACAGGUGACAAUAACUAGGUGCCACGGGCUGUGAGGAGGCCAUGCAGGGGCUUGGGAGGGUGGCACCCAGCAAGAUACCCAGCAAGUGCACGUGAGUCAAUCAGGGAAGGUUUUGUGGAGAAGGUGGGGUUGAAACAGGCUUAGAGAAGGCCCCACACAGUGGCUCACGCCUGUAAUCCCAGCACUUUGGGAGGCCAAGGCGGGUGGAUCACCUGAGGUCAGGAGUUCGAGACCAGCGUGACCAAUAUGGUGAAACCCCAUUUCUACUAAAAAUACAAAA
Molecule: small RNA, 2111 nt
Filed under: Pongo abelii (Sumatran orangutan)
Lineage: Eukaryota; Metazoa; Chordata; Mammalia; Primates; Hominidae
Description: processed transcript
Source: RNAcentral